AACGAACGCUGGCGGCAUGCCUAACACAUGCAAGUCGAACGAGACCUUCGGGUCUAGUGGCGCACGGGUGCGUAACGCGUGGGAACCUGCCCUUAGGUUCGGAAUAACUCCCCGAAAGGGGUGCUAAUACCGGAUAAUGUCUUCGGACCAAAGAUUUAUCGCCUUUGGGUGGGCCCGCGUUGGUUUAGCUAGUUGGUAGGGUAAAAGCCUACCAAGGCGACGAUGCAUAGCUGGUCUGAGAGGAUGAUCAGCCACACUGGGACUGCGACACGGCCCAGACUCCUACGGGAGGCAGCAGUGGGGAAUAUUGGACGAGGGGCGCAAGCCUGAUCCAGCCAUGCCGCGUGAGUGAUGAAGCCCUUAGGGUUGUAAAGCUCUUUUAGCCGAGAUGAUAAUGACAGUACCGGGAGAAUAAGCUCCGGCUAACUCCGUG
Molecule: ribosomal RNA, 433 nt
Filed under: uncultured bacterium
Lineage: Bacteria
Description: partial 16S ribosomal RNA
Rfam family: Bacterial small subunit ribosomal RNA
Source: RNAcentral